GGGGUUGUUGCUCAGUGGUAGAGCGCUUGCCUAGCAUGAAUGAGGCUCUGGGUUCGAUCCUCAGCACCACA
RNAcentral lists this transfer RNA (71 nucleotides) under Marmota monax (woodchuck). RNAcentral's name for it is "tRNA.Ala". It matches the Rfam family "tRNA". From Rfam's summary of the family: Transfer RNA (tRNA) molecules are approximately 80 nucleotides in length. Their secondary structure includes four short double-helical elements and three loops (D, anti-codon, and T loops). Lineage: Eukaryota; Metazoa; Chordata; Mammalia; Rodentia; Sciuridae. The record is from RNAcentral.